Molecule: long non-coding RNA, 411 nt
Organism: Lucilia cuprina (Australian sheep blowfly)
Lineage: Eukaryota; Metazoa; Arthropoda; Insecta; Diptera; Calliphoridae
Exons: 2
Source: RefSeq, a predicted model, not a curated record
GUUUUUGUUUUACGCUUCUAACGAAUAAAAAAUUAACAUAAAAAAACAAAGUUUAAAGAGUUUUGUUUUUGAAAAAAUAUAAUUUGUUUUCCAAAAAAAAAAUUGUGAAAGCUUAGCUUUAAUUACUUUAAUAAUUUACUGGCAAAAAAAAUUUAAGUAAAAAAAGCCUCGUGUUUUUAAGAGAGUAAAUGCCUGAAAAAAAGUCGAAAAAAUUAACUAAAAACAAAGUUGUAAUGUUAAAUAAUGUUGAAUAUAGUUUUCUGAUAUGAAAUGUUCAACGUCGAAAAAAAAUGUGUUUACUUCAGCUAAACGUCAUCAUUAAUUGACAUUACAAUAUCAGAUUAAUCAAAAAAAAAAAAAAAAAAAAAAUAAAAACUUAAAUCAAAACAAAGUCUGUCUCUUAACAACAAC